AGCAGGAGGCAGAAAGAGGCGGCAUUGUGUCAUGUGUAACGGCCCAGGUUCUGAUUUCCUGUUCAGCAGCAGUGGGGGUGUGGCCUGGAACGUCCCAUCCUGCCCCUCUGUUUGACCUGCUCUGUCUCACCUGCUGCACGGAUUUAGUCAUGCACCUACCUUACCUGUAAAUGACGGCAAUAAUAGACGCCUUUUAACUUUCUCAUGAGUACUAGUUAAUAAAUACUAAAUCUUAGAACAA
Molecule: long non-coding RNA, 241 nt
Filed under: Rattus norvegicus (Norway rat)
Lineage: Eukaryota; Metazoa; Chordata; Mammalia; Rodentia; Muridae
Description: long non-coding RNA NONRATT014512
Source: RNAcentral